Molecule: long non-coding RNA, 179 nt
Organism: Ananas comosus (pineapple)
Lineage: Eukaryota; Viridiplantae; Streptophyta; Magnoliopsida; Poales; Bromeliaceae
Exons: 2
Source: RefSeq, a predicted model, not a curated record
CCCAAAAAAAAAAAUAAUCACUCCCCUCUCCUUCCCUCUCUUCUUCAUCUCUCUCCUUUUUUCCUCUCCGGCGACGCGUUUUCCACCGGCAAGUUUCUUCUCCGGCGAGUUUUUCUCCGGCGAACCUCCAAGAAAUCUGAAAGAUGAAUUCAUCACAAGGAGAACCAUCUACCCAAAAA